CCUGCAGUCGGACGGUAGCACAGAGGAGCUUGCUCCUUGGGUGACGAGUGGCGGACGGGUGAGUAAUGUCUGGGGAUCUGCCCGAUAGAGGGGGAUAACCACUGGAAACGGUGGCUAAUACCGCAUAACGUCGCAAGACCAAAGAGGGGGACCUUCGGGCCUCUCACUAUCGGAUGAACCCAGAUGGGAUUAGCUAGUAGGCGGGGUAAUGGCCCACCUAGGCGACGAUCCCUAGCUGGUCUGAGAGGAUGACCAGCCACACUGGAACUGAGACACGGUCCAGACUCCUACGGGAGGCAGCAGUGGGGAAUAUUGCACAAUGGGCGCAAGCCUGAUGCAGCCAUGCCGCGUGUAUGAAGAAGGCCUUCGGGUUGUAAAGUACUUUCAGCGGGGAGGAAGGCGGUGAGGUUAAUAACCUCGCCGAUUGACGUUACCCGCAGAAGAAGCACCGGCUAACUCCGUGCCAGCAGCCGCGGUAAUACGGAGGGUGCAAGCGUUAAUCGGAAUUACUGGGCGUAAAGCGCACGCAGGCGGUCUGUUAAGUCANAUGUGAAAUCCCCGGGCUUAACCUGGGAACUGCAUUUGAAACUGGCAGGCUUGAGUCUCGUAGAGGGGGGUAGAAUUCCAGGUGUAGCGGUGAAAUGCGUAGAGAUCUGGAGGAAUACCGGUGGCGAAGGCGGCCCCCUGGACGAAGACUGACGCUCAGGUGCGAAAGCGUGGGGACAAACAAGAUUAGAUACCCUGGUAGUCCACGCCGUAAACGAUGUCGACUUGGAGGUUGUUCCCUUGAGGAGUGCUUC
This 800-nucleotide ribosomal RNA is filed under the name uncultured bacterium. Its description in RNAcentral is "bacterial SSU rRNA". It matches the Rfam family "Bacterial small subunit ribosomal RNA", at positions 54 to 846 of the family's 1533-position model. The record is from RNAcentral.